ACUCUGUGUAUAUCGCAAUACGAG
This 24-nucleotide non-coding RNA is filed under the name Arabidopsis thaliana (thale cress). Lineage: Eukaryota; Viridiplantae; Streptophyta; Magnoliopsida; Brassicales; Brassicaceae. The record is from RNAcentral.